This 279-nucleotide ribosomal RNA is filed under the name uncultured bacterium. RNAcentral's name for it is "partial 16S ribosomal RNA". It matches the Rfam family "Bacterial small subunit ribosomal RNA", at positions 506 to 784 of the family's 1533-position model. The record is from RNAcentral.
UGCCAGCCGCCGCGGUAACACGGGGGGCGCGAGCGUUAUUCGGAAUUAUUGGGCGUAAAGGGCGCGCAGGCGGUCUUGUCAGUCAGGUGUGAGAGCCCCGGGCUCAACCUGGGAUGGUCAUUUAGAACUGGCAGACUAGAGUCUUGGAGAGGGGAGUGGAAUUCCAGGUGUAGCGGUGAAAUGCGUAGAGAUCUGAAGGAACAUCAGUGGCGAAGGCGACCUCCUGGACUGAUAUUGACGCUGAGGUGCGAAAGCGUGGGGAGCAAACAGGAUUAGAUA